RNAcentral lists this unclassified non-coding RNA (212 nucleotides) under soil metagenome. Its description in RNAcentral is "partial internal transcribed spacer 1". The record is from RNAcentral.
ACACUUUACAUCCACGUGUCUAAACAUCCGUUUGGACAUAAACCCCCUUCUUAGCGAACUAGUCGGGUGGUUAUCCCGCAAGAGAUUUCCAUUCCGUCAUUUUUUUCUCUUUGUUUUUAUUUCACUUUUUAAAACCCAAUUGAAAUUCUUAGACUGAAACUUUCUUGCAUAGACAGAAAUGUCUCUUGCAUCGAAAAAAACAAAAUGCUAAA